This is a long non-coding RNA of Pezoporus flaviventris, 449 nucleotides long. RefSeq lists it as uncharacterized. The record is from RefSeq and is a predicted model, not a curated record. NCBI's taxonomy places the organism in Eukaryota, Metazoa, Chordata, Aves, Psittaciformes, Psittacidae. The transcript is spliced from 3 exons.
UUAUAAAGCAGGUGUGUGAGGUCACAGAACCCCACAGAACCCUCCAGCAGAGGCACCGGGAGACGACAGCUGCCCCACGGAACACAAGCUACCGGUGGAGGAGGCAAGAGCAGCUCCUCCGGUGGUUCCCGUCUUGGUGUCUCGGAGCCGGUGCCGCCUGUGGACGCAGGAGCGUGGAAGGAGGUGGCCGUGACGCCCUGUUCCAUGGCCCACGUUGAGCUGUGACCCCUCGCAUGCUCCACCUCCGGACCAAAGGCACUGAGGAAGAGCAGCCCGUGAGGGACCUCCCCGAGCCGGCUGGGCAGAGGCUGGUCCCCCCGCAGCCACUCCCGGAGCACCCCUGGGUGCCCAGUGGCCAUGGGCACGAUGCUGCCGCCAUCCCAAAGCCGUGGCGGUCGCUCUGGAUUUGCCCAUUGUGACGGGGCCCCCACGGUGAGCGUGGGCUCUUU